UGAUAAAUUACUAACUAUAUGGAUAAAAUUAAAAUUAUUACCACAGCUGAAUGGCUUCAAUUUCCUUCACACAUCUCACUGGGAGCUUUACUAGAAAAAUGAACUUGAUAUGUUUGUUCUUGAUCCAUACAAGAUUAAGUUUAACAAGAUAUCAAGUUAUAAAGUUUGAUGAGCAUGAAAUAGAGUUAGUGAAGUUUUAUCUGAGGAAAACAAUCAACUUCAAAUUUUGGUUCUUAUCUAAGAA
Molecule: long non-coding RNA, 244 nt
Filed under: Carica papaya (papaya)
Lineage: Eukaryota; Viridiplantae; Streptophyta; Magnoliopsida; Brassicales; Caricaceae
Description: long non-coding RNA (CPAP_LNC005055)
Source: RNAcentral